Molecule: long non-coding RNA, 405 nt
Filed under: Medicago truncatula (barrel medic)
Lineage: Eukaryota; Viridiplantae; Streptophyta; Magnoliopsida; Fabales; Fabaceae
Description: long non-coding RNA (MTRU_LNC001972)
Source: RNAcentral
CUCUUCGACAACGCCAAAGUCGAAAAACGUGACGUCCUCGACGGUACUUUCAUGCCUUCCACUGAUUUCUUCGGUGGUUACCGUACCUGUGCUUUUCAAGAUACAGCUGAACCUUCCCAUAGCCUCCUCAAACGCUUCAUCUUCCACAUCCUUUCAUCAAAACACGACACUUUCAUUCCACUCUUUCAAACUAACCUAACUGAACAUUUCACCGAUCUUGAAAAAGAACUCGCUGGAAAACAUCAAAAAGCUAGCUUCAACACUUCCAUUGGAGGCAUAACCUUCAACUUCCUCUUCAAACUCAUCACUGACAAAAACCCUAGCGAAACUAAAAUUGGUGACUCUGGUCCAACCCUAGUUCAAACAUGGCUUGCAGCUCAGCUAGCUCCUUUAGCUACAGCUGGU